This 252-nucleotide long non-coding RNA is filed under the name Malus domestica (apple). Its description in RNAcentral is "long non-coding RNA (MDOM_LNC001989)". Lineage: Eukaryota; Viridiplantae; Streptophyta; Magnoliopsida; Rosales; Rosaceae. The record is from RNAcentral.
AGGAUGGAAAGUCUCAUCCCAUUCGUGUUGUGACACUAAGACAAGUAUGUAGGUGCUCAUUAAGGAAAUGAGUUCACUAAACACAAUCGAACGAGAGUACUUGCAUGGAGGUCUACUCACAUGUCAAGCAAGUAACUGUAAUGGUUGGAAUAAUGUAAGUAGUCCUUUGACCUGAGGCAUCGUCGUUAUCUUGUGGCUAAGUACUUAAUCUUUGAUUAUGUCAAAGUCACCCCAUUCGCGGAUGUCCACGGC